This 253-nucleotide long non-coding RNA is filed under the name Carica papaya (papaya). RNAcentral's name for it is "long non-coding RNA (CPAP_LNC001093)". The record is from RNAcentral. Lineage: Eukaryota; Viridiplantae; Streptophyta; Magnoliopsida; Brassicales; Caricaceae.
CGUUAGACUCCCGGUCAGCAGCCCUGACCAAUUAGAAUGCGCCAAGUGGCAGAGGCGCUAAUGCGAGAGGCCACGUGGGCGAUCCGCGUGUGCGCGAUCACAUGGCUGAGGUCCAUUCCAGCGCGCAUGGAUGGCCCAGAGUGAAUCGCGAUGGACGGUCCAGAUUCACUCCCCAUUUAAUCACGAUCAGACAGUCCAGAUCAAAUGCGAAGGACUGUCCAGAUCAAAAGUGGAUGGGCAUAAAUAACCCUCA